This 589-nucleotide ribosomal RNA is filed under the name Colletotrichum conoides. RNAcentral's name for it is "eukaryotic LSU rRNA". The stretch from base 227 to 380 matches the Rfam family "5.8S ribosomal RNA". Lineage: Eukaryota; Fungi; Ascomycota; Sordariomycetes; Glomerellales; Glomerellaceae. The record is from RNAcentral.
GGAAGUAAAAGUCGUAACAAGGUCUCCGUUGGUGAACCAGCGGAGGGAUCAUUACUGAGUUUACGCUCUAUAACCCUUUGUGAACAUACCUAUAACUGUUGCUUCGGCGGGUAGGGUCUCCGUGACCCUCCCGGCCUCCCGCCCCCGGGCGGGUCGGCGCCCGCCGGAGGAUAACCAAACUCUGAUUUAACGACGUUUCUUCUGAGUGGUACAAGCAAAUAAUCAAAACUUUUAACAACGGAUCUCUUGGUUCUGGCAUCGAUGAAGAACGCAGCGAAAUGCGAUAAGUAAUGUGAAUUGCAGAAUUCAGUGAAUCAUCGAAUCUUUGAACGCACAUUGCGCCCGCCAGCAUUCUGGCGGGCAUGCCUGUUCGAGCGUCAUUUCAACCCUCAAGCUCUGCUUGGUGUUGGGGCCCUACAGCUGAUGUAGGCCCUCAAAGGUAGUGGCGGACCCUCCCGGAGCCUCCUUUGCGUAGUAACUUUACGUCUCGCACUGGGAUCCGGAGGGACUCUUGCCGUAAAACCCCCAAUUUUCCAAAGGUUGACCUCGGAUCAGGUAGGAAUACCCGCUGAACUUAAGCAUAUCAAUA